This 395-nucleotide unclassified non-coding RNA is filed under the name soil metagenome. Its description in RNAcentral is "partial contains 5.8S ribosomal RNA, internal transcribed spacer 2, and large subunit ribosomal RNA". The stretch from base 1 to 122 matches the Rfam family "5.8S ribosomal RNA", at positions 35 to 154 of the family's 154-position model. The record is from RNAcentral.
GAUGAAGAACGUAGCGAAAUGCGAUACUUGGUGUGAAUUGCAGAAUCUCGUGAACCAUCGAGUCUUUGAACGCAAGUUGCGCCCGAAGCCAUCAGGUUGAGGGCACGUCUGCCUGGGCGUCACAUAUCGUUGCCCAAUGCCUAUUGCAGUGCAAUAGGAAUUUCUAGGGCGAAUGAUGGCUUCCCGUGAGCGUUGUUGCCUCGCGGUUGGUUGAAAAUCGAGUCCUUGGUAGGGUGUGCCAUGGUAGAUGGUGGUCGAGUUGGAACGAUACCGAUCAUGUGCAUGCUCCCCAAAAUAUGGCCUCUAUGACCCACACGCGUCUUUUGACGCUCAUGACGAGACCUCAGGUCAGGCGGGGCUACCCGCUGAAUUUAAGCAUAUCAAUAAGCGGAGGA